Molecule: long non-coding RNA, 496 nt
Filed under: Helianthus annuus (common sunflower)
Lineage: Eukaryota; Viridiplantae; Streptophyta; Magnoliopsida; Asterales; Asteraceae
Source: RNAcentral
CUGAUCGAUCGCACAAGCAGGGGCCAAGGGUGAAACCCUAGUUUCACCAAUUCCAUCCAAUUGAGAAGGAAAUUCAAAGGAAAAUCGAAUGCAUGAACCCUUAUUUCGAUCAUCAGACCUUGUUCAAUAAAAUGGUAAGUUCAAUUUCGCAUGAAAGAAGAAAGUUCAAGUGCUACGAAGACGGAAAAACGCACAAGAUCGAGGUAAAGCCUCAAUUUAAUCGGUUCGGCGACUUGGAAUGAGCACCCAUAUGUAAUUCGCCUACAAGCGCUUCCGCUACCUUUUGUAACAAAGUCCUGGUCAAAUAUAUUUUGUUGUAGUUAGUUUUGAAUAUUAAUUAAACUUUGAAGUUUGACUUGUUUGGUCUUUUGAAAUUUCUCUAGAUGUCGGUAGUUAUCUAAAACUAUGUUUUGGAUUUGUAAGUCUUUUGAAAGUGUUGUUAAUUACUUGAAAUUACGUUUGUCAAAACAGGGAUUGUUCAUAAGUCAAACGGGUC